CCUACGGGAGGCAGCAGUGAGGAAUAUUGGUCAAUGGACGAGAGUCUGAACCAGCCAAGUAGCGUGAAGGAUGACUGCCCUAUGGGUUGUAAACUUCUUUUAUAAAGGAAUAAAACGAGGCACGUGUGCCUUUUUGCAUGUACUUUAUGAAUAAGGAUCGGCUAACUCCGUGCCAGCAGACGAGGUAAUACGGAGGAUCCGAGCGUUAUCCGGAUUUAUUGGGUUUAAGGGGCUCGUAGAUGGGUUGUUAAGUCAGUUGUGAACGUUUGCGGCUCAACCGUAAAAUUGCAAUUGAUACUGGCAGUCUGGAGUACAGUUGAGGUAGGCGGAAUUCGUGGUGUAGCGGUGAAAUGCUGAGAUAUCACGAAGAACCCCGAUUGCGAAGGCAGCUUACUAAACUGUGACUGACAUUGAUGCUCGAAAGUGUGGGUAUCAAACAGGAUUAGAUACCCGUGUAGUC
RNAcentral lists this ribosomal RNA (460 nucleotides) under uncultured bacterium. RNAcentral describes it as "partial 16S ribosomal RNA". It matches the Rfam family "Bacterial small subunit ribosomal RNA", at positions 338 to 795 of the family's 1533-position model. The record is from RNAcentral.